GACGAACGCUGGCGGCGUGCCUAAUACAUGCAAGUCGAGCGGACGGAUGGGAGCUUGCUCCCAGCCCGUCAGCGGCGGACGGGUGAGUAACACGUGGGCAACCUGCCUGUAAGACUGGGAUAACUCCGGGAAACCGGGGCUAAUACCGGAUAACUCUUUCCCUCACAUGAGGGAAAGCUGAAAGAUGGCAUCUCGCUAUCACUUACAGAUGGGCCCGCGGCGCAUUAGCUAGUUUGUGAGGUAACGGCUCACCAAGGCGACGAUGCGUAGCCGACCUGAGAGGGUGAUCGGCCACACUGGGACUGAGACACGGCCCAGACUCCUACGGGAGGCAGCAGUAGGGAAUCUUCCGCAAUGGACGAAAGUCUGACGGAGCAACGCCGCGUGAGUGAUGAAGGUUUUCGGAUCGUAAAACUCUGUUGUCAGGGAAGAACAAGUACCGGAGUAACUGCCGGUACCUUGACGGUACCUGACCAGAAAGCCACGGCUAACUACGUG
RNAcentral lists this ribosomal RNA (498 nucleotides) under uncultured bacterium. Its description in RNAcentral is "partial 16S ribosomal RNA". It matches the Rfam family "Bacterial small subunit ribosomal RNA", at positions 28 to 507 of the family's 1533-position model. The record is from RNAcentral.